CAUUAAGAAGCUAUAUAGCAUUAACCUUUUAAGUUAAAGACUGAGAGUUUAAAUCUCUCCUUAAUGA
Molecule: transfer RNA, 67 nt
Filed under: Uropsilus gracilis (gracile shrew mole)
Lineage: Eukaryota; Metazoa; Chordata; Mammalia; Eulipotyphla; Talpidae
Also listed under: 2 other names
Description: tRNA-Lys
Rfam family: tRNA
About the family: Transfer RNA (tRNA) molecules are approximately 80 nucleotides in length. Their secondary structure includes four short double-helical elements and three loops (D, anti-codon, and T loops).
Source: RNAcentral